This 467-nucleotide ribosomal RNA is filed under the name uncultured bacterium. RNAcentral describes it as "partial 16S ribosomal RNA". It matches the Rfam family "Bacterial small subunit ribosomal RNA", at positions 28 to 507 of the family's 1533-position model. The record is from RNAcentral.
GACGAACGCUGGCGGCGUGCUUAACACAUGCAAGUCGAACGGAAAGGCUCCAGCUUGCUGGAGUACUCGAGUGGCGAACGGGUGAGUAACACGUGGGUAAUCUGCCCUGCACUCUGGGAUAAGCCUGGGAAACUGGGUCUAAUACUGGAUAUGACCUUUCUCCUUAUGGGGUUUGGUGGAAAGUUUUUCGGUGUAGGAUGAGCCCGCGGCCUAUCAGCUUGUUGGUGGGGUGAUGGCCUACCAAGGCGACGACGGGUAGCCGGCCUGAGAGGGUGAUCGGCCACAAUGGGACUGAGAUACGGGCCAGACUCCUACGGGAGGCAGCAGGGGGGAAUAUUGCACAAUGGGCGGAAGCCUGGAUCAACGACGCCGCGUGGGGGAUGACGGCCUUCGGGUUGUAAACCUCUUUCAGCAGGGACGAAGCGUAAGUGACGGUACCUGCAGAAGAAGCACCGGCUAACUAUGUG